RNAcentral lists this ribosomal RNA (381 nucleotides) under uncultured bacterium. RNAcentral's name for it is "bacterial SSU rRNA". It matches the Rfam family "Bacterial small subunit ribosomal RNA", at positions 954 to 1333 of the family's 1533-position model. The record is from RNAcentral.
GCUAAACGCGAAGAACCUUACCAGGCCUUGACAUGCAGAGAACUUUCCAGAGAUGGAUUGGUGCCUUCGGGAACGUCUGACACAGGUGCUGCAUGGCUGCCGUCAGCUCGUGUCGUGAGAUGUUGGGUUAGGUCCCGUAACGAGCGCAACCCUUGUCCUUAGUUACCAGCACGUUAUGGUGGGCACUCUAAGGAGACUGCCGGUGACAAACCGGAGGAAGGUGGGGAUGACGUCAAGUCAUCAUGGCCCUUACGGCCUGGGCUACACACGUGCUACAAUGGUCGGUACAGAGGGUUGCCAAGCCGCGAGGUGGAGCUAAUCUCACAAAACCGAUCGUAGUCCGGAUCGCAGUCUGCAACUCGACUGCGUGAAGUCGGAAUC